GACGAACGCUGGCGGCGUGCUUAACACAUGCAAGUCGAACGGAAAGGCCCUUUUGGGGGUACUCGAGUGGCGAACGGGUGAGUAACACGUGAGUAACCUGCCCUUGACUUCGGGAUAACUUCAGGAAACUGGGGCUAAUACCGGAUAGGAAUCCUUGCUGCAUGGUGGGGGUUGGAAAGCUUCGUCGGUUUUGGAUGGACUCGCGGCUUAUCAGCUUGUUGGUGGUAGUGGCUUACCAAGGCUUUGACGGGUAGCCGGCCUGAGAGGGCGACCGGCCACAUUGGGACUGAGAUACGGCCCAGACUCCUACGGGAGGCAGCAGUGGGGAAUAUUGCACAAUGGGCGGAGGCCGGAUGCAGCAACGCCGCGUGCGGGAUGACGGCCUUCGGGUUGUAAACCGCUUUCAGCAGGGGCGAAGCUUGUGGUGACGUUACCUGCAGAAGAAGCACCGGCUAACUACGUG
This 463-nucleotide ribosomal RNA is filed under the name uncultured bacterium. RNAcentral's name for it is "partial 16S ribosomal RNA". It matches the Rfam family "Bacterial small subunit ribosomal RNA", at positions 28 to 507 of the family's 1533-position model. The record is from RNAcentral.